This 181-nucleotide ribosomal RNA is filed under the name uncultured bacterium. RNAcentral describes it as "partial 16S ribosomal RNA". It matches the Rfam family "Bacterial small subunit ribosomal RNA", at positions 1320 to 1500 of the family's 1533-position model. The record is from RNAcentral.
AUGAAGUUGGAAUUGCUAGUAAUCGCGAAUCAGAAUGUCGCGGUGAAUACGUUCCCGGGCCUUGUACACACCGCCCGUCACACCAUGAGAGUCGAUAACACCCGAAGCCUGUGAGCUAACCGCAAGGAGGCAGCAGUCGAAGGUGGGGUUGAUGAUUGGGGUGAAGUCGUAACAAGGUACC